CUUUACUAUAGCUUCGCCUUGGCGUUAGCGACGAUAUGUGUAGGAUAGGUGGGAGCCUAUGAAACCGGGGCGCCAGUUCCGGUGGAGGCAACCUUGAAAUACCACCCUUAUCUUCGUUGACGUCUAACCGCGGCCCGUUAUCCGGGUCCGGGACAUGGCGUGGCGGGUAGUUUGACUGGGGCGGUCGCCUCCCAAAGUGUAACGGAGGCGCGCGAUGGUGGGCUCAGACCGGUCGGAAAUCGGUCGUCGAGUGCAAUGGCAUAAGCCCGCCUGACUGCGAGACUGACAAGUCGAGCAGAGACGAAAGUCGGCCAUAGUGAUCCGGUGGUCCUGCGUGGAAGGGCCAUCGCUCAACGGAUAAAAGGUA
This 367-nucleotide ribosomal RNA is filed under the name uncultured organism. RNAcentral describes it as "bacterial LSU rRNA". It matches the Rfam family "Bacterial large subunit ribosomal RNA", at positions 2099 to 2465 of the family's 2925-position model. The record is from RNAcentral.